Long non-coding RNA from Setaria italica (foxtail millet), 601 nucleotides. RefSeq lists it as uncharacterized. The transcript has 3 exons. The record is from RefSeq and is a predicted model, not a curated record. Lineage: Eukaryota; Viridiplantae; Streptophyta; Magnoliopsida; Poales; Poaceae.
AGAUAGCUACUCUUCUUGGUGCGGUUUUCAGAUUUUUAGAUGUGAUAUUCAUGUCGUGUGACCCAAUAAGAGAUAUGACAAACUACUUCAGAAGAAGGUUACAGGAGUGCUUCAUAUGACAUAUCCAGGUGCUGAUAAUAGCUACUCUUACUGCUGAAGUUUCCAAACUUGUGCCAUAUUCAUACAGUGUGACCCAAUAUGAGAUAUGGCGAGCUACUUAGCAAGCAAGCUACAGGAGUGCUUGGUAUGACACACCCACACACCGAUGAUGUCCCUCUGUGUCUUCUCAGUGCUUAGGAUGAUUUCUGCGUGCUAAAUGAUGGAAAGGCUGCCUGUGGUGCAACAAAUUGCACAUCGAUUGUUUGUAAGUUGUAACUGCUGUAGACAGGAAAAAAGACAGUUCAGGCGCCAAAUCCUUGUCCACUGAAUGAAGAUGCUAUCACGGUGACUAAGUAUAACUUGGAAACUGUUGAGUCUGAGAAGGCUUCUCAUUUGCGACUAUUAUUUCGUCAGCUAAUUGUUGUGACCAUGUAAAUUUGUCACUUCCCUCUGUGAAAUGCUCUGCUACUCUCUUUAAUACCCAACAUGCAAAUUUAUUCGA